Molecule: ribosomal RNA, 481 nt
Filed under: uncultured bacterium
Lineage: Bacteria
Description: partial 16S ribosomal RNA
Rfam family: Bacterial small subunit ribosomal RNA
Source: RNAcentral
GAUGAACGCUGGCGGCGUGCUUAACACAUGCAAGUCGAACGAAACACCUUAUUUGAUUUUCUUCGGAACUGAAGAUUUGGUGAAUGAGUGGCGGACGGGUGAGUAACUCGUGGGUAACCUGCCCUGUACAGGGGGAUAACAGUCAGAAAUGACUGCUAAUACCGCAUAAGACCCCAGCACCGCAUGGUGCAGGGGUAAAAGGUCCGGCGGUAUAGGAUGUACCCGCGUCUGAUUAGCUGGUUGGUGAGGUGACGGCUCACCAAGGCGACGAUCAGUAGACGGCAUGAGAGAGUGAACGGCCACACUGGGACUGAGACACGGCCCAGACUCCUACGGGAGGCAGCAGUGGGGAAUAUUGCAAAAUGGGGGAAACCAUGAUGCAGCGACGCCGCGUGAGUGAAGAAGUAUUUAGGUAUGUAAAGCUCUAUAAGCAGGGAAGAUAAUGACGGUACCUGAAGAAGAAGCCCCGGCUAACUACGUG